UCUGCAGAGAUGCGGAAGUGCCUUCGGGAACUGUGAGACAGGUGCUGCAUGGCUGUCGUCAGCUCGUGUUGUGAAAUGUUGGGUUAAGUCCCGCAACGAGCGCAACCCUUAUCCUUUGUUGCCAGCGGUCCGGCCGGGAACUCAAAGGAGACUGCCAGUGAUAAACUGGAGGAAGGUGGGGAUGACGUCAAGUCAUCAUGGCCCUUACGACCAGGGCUACACACGUGCUACAAUGGCGCAUACAAAGAGAAGCGACCU
RNAcentral lists this ribosomal RNA (258 nucleotides) under Salmonella enterica subsp. enterica serovar Meleagridis. RNAcentral's name for it is "partial 16S ribosomal RNA". It matches the Rfam family "Bacterial small subunit ribosomal RNA", at positions 997 to 1255 of the family's 1533-position model. The record is from RNAcentral. Lineage: Bacteria; Pseudomonadati; Pseudomonadota; Gammaproteobacteria; Enterobacterales; Enterobacteriaceae.